UGCAAGUCGAACGAACCUUCGGGUUAGUGGCGGACGGGUGAGUAACGCGUGAGAAUCUGCCCUCAGGAGGGGGAUAACGGUUGGAAACGACCGCUAAUACCCCAUAUGCCGCGAGGUGAAAUGAAUUUCGCCUGAGGAUGAGCUCGCGUCUGAUUAGCUAGUUGGUGGGGUAAGAGCCUACCAAGGCUUCGAUCAGUAGCUGGUCUGAGAGGAUGAUCAGCCACACUGGGACUGAGACACGGCCCAGACUCCUACGGGAGGCAGCAGUGGGGAAUUUUCCGCAAUGGGCGAAAGCCUGACGGAGCAACGCCGCGUGAGGGAUGAAGGCCUCUGGGCUGUAAACCUCUUUUAUCAAGGAAGAAGAUCUGACGGUACUUGAUGAAUAAGCCACGGCUAAUUCCGUGCCAGCAGCCGCGGUAAUACGGGAGUGGCAAGCGUUAUCCGGAAUUAUUGGGCGUAAAGCGUCCGCAGGCGGUCUUACAAGUCUGUCGUUAAAGCGUGGAGCUUAACUCCAUUUCGGCGAUGGAAACUGUAAGACUAGAGUGUGGUAGGGGCAGAGGGAAUUCCCGGUGUAGCGGUGAAAUGCGUAGAUAUCGGGAAGAACACCAGUGGCGAAGGCGCUCUGCUGGGCCAUAACUGACGCUCAUGGACGAAAGCUAGGGGAGCGAAAGGGAUUAGAUACCCCUGUAGUCCUAGCCGUAAACGAUGAACACUAGGUGUCGGGGGAAUCGACCCCCUCGGUGUCGUAGCCAACGCGUUAAGUGUUCCGCCUGGGGAGUACGCACGCAAGUGUGAAACUCAAAGGAAUUGACGGGGGCCCGCACAAGCGGUGGAGUAUGUGGUUUAAUUCGAUGCAACGCGAAGAACCUUACCAGGGUUUGACAUCCUGCGAAUCCCUUGGAAACUUGGGAGUGCCUUCGGGAGCGCAGUGACAGGUGGUGCAUGGCUGUCGUCAGCUCGUGUCGUGAGAUGUUGGGUUAAGUCCCGCAACGAGCGCAACCCACGUCUUUAGUUGCCAGCAUUUAGUUGGGCACUCUAGAGAGACCGCCGGUGAUAAACCGGAGGAAGGUGUGGAUGACGUCAAGUCAUCAUGCCCCUUACAUCCUGGGCUACACACGUACUACAAUGCUACGGACAAAGGGCAGCAAACUCGCGAGAGCUAGCCAAUCCCAUAAACCGUGGCUCAGUUCAGAUCGUAGGCUGCAACUCGCCUACGUGAAGGAGGAAUCGCUAGUAAUCGCAGGUCAGCAUACUGCGGUGAAUACGUUCCCGGGCCUUGUACACACCGCCCGUCACACCAUGGAAGUUGGCCACGCCCGAAGUCGUUACUCCAACCCUUGUGGAGGAGGAUGCCGAAGGUGGGGCUGAUGACUGGGGUGAAGUCGUAACAAGGUAGCCGUACCGGAAGGUGCGGCUGGAUCACCUCCU
Molecule: ribosomal RNA, 1428 nt
Filed under: Synechococcus sp. MA0607B
Lineage: Bacteria; Bacillati; Cyanobacteriota; Cyanophyceae; Synechococcales; Synechococcaceae
Also listed under: 1 other name
Description: 16S ribosomal RNA
Rfam family: Bacterial small subunit ribosomal RNA
Source: RNAcentral